Molecule: ribosomal RNA, 477 nt
Filed under: uncultured bacterium
Lineage: Bacteria
Description: bacterial SSU rRNA
Rfam family: Bacterial small subunit ribosomal RNA
Source: RNAcentral
GAUGAACGCUGGCGGCGUGCCUAACACAUGCAAGUCGAACGGACUUUUUUGAUGGAAGUUUUCGGAUGGAAGUCAAACAAGUUAGUGGCGGACGGGUGAGUAACGCGUGGGUAACCUGCCGUAUACAGGGGGAUAACACUUAGAAAUAGGUGCUAAUACCGCAUAAGCGCACAGCUUCGCAUGGAGCAGUGUGAAAAACUCCGGUGGUAUACGAUGGACCCGCGUCUGAUUAGCUAGUUGGUGAGGUAACGGCCCACCAAGGCGACGAUCAGUAGCCGGCCUGAGAGGGUGAACGGCCACAUUGGGACUGAGACACGGCCCAAACUCCUACGGGAGGCAGCAGUGGGGAAUAUUGCACAAUGGGGGAAACCCUGAUGCAGCGACGCCGCGUGAGUGAAGAGGUAUUUCGGUAUGUAAAGCUCUAUCAGCAGGGAAGAAAUGACGGUACCUGACUAAGAAGCUCCGGCUAAAUACGUG